AACGCACAUUGCGCCCUUUGGUAUUCCAAAGGGCAUGCCUGUUUGAGCGUCAUUUCUCUCUCAAACCUUCGGGUUUGGUAUUGAGUGAUACUCUUAGUCAAGCUAAGUGUUUGCUUAAAAUGUAUCGGCAUAAGUAGUACUAGAUAGUGCUGUUUGACAAUUUCAAUGUAUUAGGUUUAUCCAACUCGUUGAAUGGUCUUGCGGUGAGUUUCUGGUAAUUUGGCUUGGCCUUACAACAAACCACAAAGUUUGACCUCAAAUCAGGUAGGAAUACCCGCUGAACUUAA
This 287-nucleotide unclassified non-coding RNA is filed under the name uncultured fungus. RNAcentral describes it as "partial contains 5.8S ribosomal RNA, internal transcribed spacer 2, and large subunit ribosomal RNA". The stretch from base 1 to 52 matches the Rfam family "5.8S ribosomal RNA", at positions 103 to 154 of the family's 154-position model. The record is from RNAcentral. Lineage: Eukaryota; Fungi.